GAUGAAACGCUAGCUACAGGCUUAAACACAUGCAAGUCGCGGGGUAACAUCUGGGAGAGCUUGCUCUUCCAGGAUGACGACCGGCGCACGGGUGAGUAACGCGUAUCCAACCUGGCCCAUACCACGGGAUAGCCCGUCGAAAGGCGGAUUAAUACCGUAUGCUGUCAUUAAGAUGCAUAUAUUGAUGACGAAAGGACUGGCGGUAUGGGAUGGGGGAUGCGUCUGAUUAGCUUGGUUGGCG
RNAcentral lists this ribosomal RNA (241 nucleotides) under uncultured bacterium. RNAcentral describes it as "partial 16S ribosomal RNA". It matches the Rfam family "Bacterial small subunit ribosomal RNA", at positions 27 to 254 of the family's 1533-position model. The record is from RNAcentral.